RNAcentral lists this ribosomal RNA (717 nucleotides) under uncultured archaeon. RNAcentral's name for it is "bacterial SSU rRNA". It matches the Rfam family "Archaeal small subunit ribosomal RNA", at positions 73 to 795 of the family's 1478-position model. The record is from RNAcentral.
GUAACCCGGCGGACGGCUCAGUAACACGUGGAUAACUUGCCCUUGGGUCUGGGAUAACCCCUGGGAAACUGGGGCUAAUACCGGAUAGAGCAUCGAUCGCUGGAAUGCAUGAUGCUCGAAAACUACGGUGCCCAAGGAUAGGUCUGCGGCUGAUUAGGUUGUUGUUGAUGUAAUGGACCAACAAGCCUACGAUCGGUACGGGUUGUGAGAGCAAUAGCCCGGAGAUGGGUUCUGAGAAAAGAACCCAGGUCCUACGGGACGCAUCAGGCGCGAAAACUUUACAAUGUGCGAAAGCACGAUAAGGGAACUCUGAGUGCCCCCUAAGGGGGCUGUUCUAGUGUCUAAAAAGCAAUAGAAGUAAGGGCUGGGCAAGACCGGUGCCAGCCGCCGCGGUAACACCGGCAGCCCAAGUGUAGCCACGUUUAUUGGGUCUAAAGCGUUCGUAGCCGGCUUGGUAAGUUCCUCGGUAAAUUUAGCCGCUUAACGGUUAAGCUUUCAGGGAAUACUGCUUGGCUUGGGACUGGGAGAGGUCAGAGGUACUCCAGGGGUAGGGGUGAAAUCCAUUAAUCCUUGGGGGACCACCGGUAGCGAAGGCGUCUGACCAGACCAGCUCCGACGGUGAGGGACGAAGGCUAGGGGCGCGAACCGGAUUAAAUACCCGGGUAGUCCUAGCUGUAAACGAUGCGGGCUAGGUGUUGGCAUUACUGGGAAUGGUGC